AAAUCUUCUCCACUACUAUAGUAAUAUAUAGGUCUUAGAUGCCUAACAUUAUGUGUUUUAAAUGUUUUAUUUUUAUUUUGUGUUGCAAGUACAAACAUGUAGUCAUUCUCGUUUCAUGGAAAGCAUAUGAUUGCCUGUGCAGAGACGUUUCAGAUAAAACAUGCAGUUACAUUAGGUUCAAGGGUUUUUAACAGGUAUGUGCUUAACAAAUCAAGUUGACUUCAUUCAUGUUGUGGCUUUGGGCUAAUUUUCA
Non-coding RNA from Pelobates cultripes (western spadefoot toad), 253 nucleotides. The record is from the annotation of a GenBank genome assembly. NCBI's taxonomy places the organism in Eukaryota, Metazoa, Chordata, Amphibia, Anura, Pelobatidae.